AGUAAAGUGGCGACCGGGUGAGUAACACGUGACUAACCUACCUUCGAGUGGGGGAUAACAUCGGGAAACCGAUGCUAAUACCGCAUAACAUCGCAAGAUCAAAGCAGCAAUGCGCUGGAAGAGGGGGUCGCGGCUGAUUAGCCAGUUGGCGGGGUAACGGCCCACCAAGGCGAAGAUCGGUAGCCGGCCUGAGAGGGCGCACGGCCACACUGGAACUGAAACACGGUCCAG
RNAcentral lists this ribosomal RNA (231 nucleotides) under uncultured bacterium. RNAcentral describes it as "partial 16S ribosomal RNA". It matches the Rfam family "Bacterial small subunit ribosomal RNA", at positions 89 to 334 of the family's 1533-position model. The record is from RNAcentral.